GCCUUCGUAGUGUAAUGGUAAGCACACUCGGCCCGUAUUCGAGAAUUGGCCCAGGUUCGAGUCCCUGCGAGGCA
This 74-nucleotide transfer RNA is filed under the name Stegodyphus mimosarum. It matches the Rfam family "tRNA". From Rfam's summary of the family: Transfer RNA (tRNA) molecules are approximately 80 nucleotides in length. Their secondary structure includes four short double-helical elements and three loops (D, anti-codon, and T loops). Further hydrogen bonds mediate the characteristic L-shaped molecular structure. tRNAs have two regions of fundamental functional importance: the anti-codon, which is responsible for specific mRNA codon recognition, and the 3' end, to which the tRNAs corresponding amino acid is attached (by aminoacyl-tRNA synthetases). tRNAs cope with the degeneracy of the genetic code in two manners: having more than one tRNA (with a specific anti-codon) for a particular amino acid; and 'wobble' base-pairing, i.e. permitting non-standard base-pairing at the 3rd anti-codon position. Lineage: Eukaryota; Metazoa; Arthropoda; Arachnida; Araneae; Eresidae. The record is from Rfam by way of RNAcentral.